UACGGAGGGUGCAAACGUUGUCCGGAAUUACUGGGCGUAAAGAGCAUGUAGGUGGUUUGGUAAGUGGGCGAUUAAAGACCGACGCUCAACGUCGGGAAUGUUGCCCAUACUGCCUUACUUGAGGAAAGCAGGGGCAAGCGGAACUUUAGGUGUAGGGGUGAAAUCCGUAGAUAUCUAAAGGAACACCAAUGGCGAAGGCAGCUUGCUGGGCUUUAUCUGACACUGAGAUGCGAAAGCGUGGGGAGCGAUCGGG
RNAcentral lists this ribosomal RNA (253 nucleotides) under uncultured bacterium. RNAcentral's name for it is "partial 16S ribosomal RNA". It matches the Rfam family "Bacterial small subunit ribosomal RNA", at positions 524 to 776 of the family's 1533-position model. The record is from RNAcentral.